GACGAACGCUGGCGGCGUGCUUAACACAUGCAAGUCGAACGGUAAGGCUCCAGCUUGCUGGGGUACACGAGUGGCGAACGGGUGAGUAACACGUGGGUGACCUGCCCUGCACUUCGGGAUAAGCCUGGGAAACUGGGUCUAAUACCGGAUAGGACUGCACCGUGAGGGUGUGGUGGAAAGUUUUUUCGGUGUGGGAUGGGCCCGCGGCCUAUCAGCUUGUUGGUGGGGUAAUGGCCUACCAAGGCGGCGACGGGUAGCCGGCCUGAGAGGGUGGACGGCCACAUUGGGACUGAGACACGGCCCAGACUCCUACGGGAGGCAGCAGUGGGGAAUAUUGCACAAUGGGCGGAAGCCUGAUGCAGCGACGCCGCGUGGGGGAUGACGGCCUUCGGGUUGUAAACUCCUUUCACCAUCGACGAAAGGUUUCUGACGGUAGAUGGAGAGGAAGCACCGGCUAACUACGCGCCAGCAGCCGCGGUAAUACGUAUGGUGCGAGCGCUGUCCGGAAUUACUGGGCGUAAAGAGCUCGUAGGUGGUUUGUCGCGUCGUCUGUGAAAUUCCGGGGCUUAACUCCGGGCGUGCAGGCGAUACGGGCAUAACUUGAGUACUGUAGGGGAGACUGGAAUUCCUGGUGUAGCGGUGAAAUGCGCAGAUAUCAGGAGGAACACCGGUGGCGAAGGCGGGUCUCUGGGCAGUAACUGACGCUGAGGAGCGAAAGCAUGGGGAGCGAACAGGAUUAGAUACCCUGGUAGUCCAUGCCGUAAACGGUGGGCGCUAGGUGUGGGUUUCCUUCCACGGGAUCCGUGCCGUAGCUAACGCAUUAAGCGCCCCGCCUGGGGAGUACGGCCGCAAGGCUAAAACUCAAAGGAAUUGACGGGGGCCCGCACAAGCGGCGGAGCAUGUGGAUUAAUUCGAUGCAACGCGAAGAACCUUACCUGGGCUUGACAUAUACAGGAUCGCGCCAGAGAUGGUGUUUCCCUUGUGGCUUGUAUACAGGUGGUGCAUGGUUGUCGUCAGCUCGUGUCGUGAGAUGUUGGGUUAAGUCCCGCAACGAGCGCAACCCUUGUCUUAUGUUGCCAGCACGUUGUGGUGGGGACUCGUAAGAAACUGCCGGGGUUAACUCGGAGGAAGGUGGGGAUGACGUCAAAUCAUCAUGCCCCUUAUGUCCAGGGCUUCACACAUGCUACAAUGGUCGGUACAGUGGGUUGCCAGUCCGUGAGGGCGAGCUAAUCCCGCAAAGCCGGUCUCAGUUCGGAUCGGGGUCUGCAACUCGACCCCGUGAAGUCGGAGUCGCUAGUAAUCGCAGAUCAGCAACGCUGCGGUGAAUACGUUCCCGGGCCU
This 1341-nucleotide ribosomal RNA is filed under the name uncultured bacterium. Its description in RNAcentral is "partial 16S ribosomal RNA". It matches the Rfam family "Bacterial small subunit ribosomal RNA", at positions 28 to 1381 of the family's 1533-position model. The record is from RNAcentral.